Myodes glareolus (Bank vole) is the source of this 902-nucleotide non-coding RNA. The record is from RefSeq and is a predicted model, not a curated record. NCBI's taxonomy places the organism in Eukaryota, Metazoa, Chordata, Mammalia, Rodentia, Cricetidae.
GCCAGCUCAGAGAUGGUUUCACUAUUACAGUAACGUGAAUCGUCAUGUCUUCUACCAGGUAACAAGGCUGCCCAGAGUGUGGAAGCUCUGUUUCUACCCAAAUCACCGACACAAACAGGUGAGUCAGGGUCCCAACCCUGUGCUCCAGGCUCCAUUCUGUUGGCAGCAGGUAAGGGUUCACUGGUGCAUUUUGUGAAUUUUUAGUUGGGUUUCAGCAAUGGAUUUUGUUUAUAUUAUGGUCAUCUAGUGCUCUCUGCAAAUGAAUUAAUGGUUUAUAAAUAUUUCUGUCUUCUUUAGACAAAAAGUGACAGAGAAUUGAGUUAGUAUCUCUUUUCUAUUUAUCUUGUUUUUCUCUAAAUGCAACCUGAAAAAUAGCUAUUAGGAAAAUAUUUUCUGAGCCAGUCAGGAGGUAAGAAAACAAAUUCUCUACUAUAUUUACUGCUAAAUACUUCCAUCAUUACACUGUGGUCCUCACUUUCAUUUGGUUAUCUAUGAGUGUAAUGGCAAGUUGAAUCAGUUAGUUCGGUUGAAAAGACCAUCAGACUGUGUUCCCCUUGCACUACGAAAUACGGGUGAUUGUGUCUGGAUUUCAUCCACUAUCUUCUUUGCCAGAGACAGGAAAGAAAACAAAGGGAAGAAACAAGCCCUACCUUUCCCCAACCAACUUCAAGAUGGAACCUACUGCAGAAAAACCACUCGUUCAAAAUGCAGCAUGGUGGAGCUGAGUCCUAAUGGAUACAUCUAAAAAAGUCUUGUACCAAACCUCAGGAAAUAUUGCAGAAAAGAGGAGGUGCAGAACAUUCUUUUGAAGACAUCUAUAACUAUUCAGUAUUCUAAGAGAAGAAUAAGGAAAAGAAGAAGAGAAAGGAGGAGGAGGAGGAGGAGGAGAAGGAGAAGGAGAA